This 407-nucleotide ribosomal RNA is filed under the name Rhipicephalus senegalensis. Its description in RNAcentral is "partial 12S ribosomal RNA". The record is from RNAcentral. Lineage: Eukaryota; Metazoa; Arthropoda; Arachnida; Ixodida; Ixodidae.
UAAACUUAGGGAAUUGAUACCCUAUUAUUUUAGAGCUUGACAUUGUUAGUAAAUAAAUAUUACGAAAGCAAAAAAUUAUGGCGGUAUUUUAAGCUUUUCAGAGGAAUUUGCUCUUUAAUGGAUAAAACACCUAAAUCUUACUUAAAUUUGUCAAUUCAAUUUGUAUACCACUAUUGAAAUAAUUAAUAACUUUAAUUGUUUAAAUUUAUAAAAUUAAAUUAUGUUAAGUCAAGGUGCAGUAAAAAUUUAAGAAUGAAGUGAAUUACAUUUCUUUUUAGAGAAAAAAAAAAUUAAAUUAACAUUUAGGAUUUGAAAGUAAAAUUAAAAUAGUAUGUUAAUUUGAAUUAAGCUCUAAAAUAUGUACAUAUCGCCCGUCACUCUUUAUUAAGAUAAUGGUUUAACAUAGA